ACGCUCGACACCUACGGAGGCAGCAGUGGGGAAUAUUGCACAAUGGGGGAAACCCUGAUGCAGCGACGCCGCGUGGAGGAAGAAGGUCUUCGGAUUGUAAACUCCUGUUGUUGGGGAAAAAGAGGAUGGUACCCAACAAGGAAGUGACGGCUAACUACGUGCCAACAGUCGCGGUAAUCUGAGCGGGCUGGCAAGGC
RNAcentral lists this ribosomal RNA (197 nucleotides) under uncultured bacterium. Its description in RNAcentral is "partial 16S ribosomal RNA". It matches the Rfam family "Bacterial small subunit ribosomal RNA", at positions 328 to 539 of the family's 1533-position model. The record is from RNAcentral.